RNAcentral lists this ribosomal RNA (600 nucleotides) under Staphylococcus carnosus. Its description in RNAcentral is "bacterial SSU rRNA". It matches the Rfam family "Bacterial small subunit ribosomal RNA", at positions 916 to 1512 of the family's 1533-position model. Lineage: Bacteria; Bacillati; Bacillota; Bacilli; Caryophanales; Staphylococcaceae. The record is from RNAcentral.
GGGACCCGCACAAGCGGUGGAGCAUGUGGUUUAAUUCGAAGCAACGCGAAGAACCUUACCAAAUCUUGACAUCCUUUGACCGCUCUAGAGAUAGAGUCUUCCCCUUCGGGGGACAAAGUGACAGGUGGUGCAUGGUUGUCGUCAGCUCGUGUCGUGAGAUGUUGGGUUAAGUCCCGCAACGAGCGCAACCCUUAAGCUUAGUUGCCAGCAUUAAGUUGGGCACUCUAAGUUGACUGCCGGUGACAAACCGGAGGAAGGUGGGGAUGACGUCAAAUCAUCAUGCCCCUUAUGAUUUGGGCUACACACGUGCUACAAUGGACAGUACAAAGGGCAGCGAAACCGCGAGGUCAAGCAAAUCCCAUAAAGCUGUUCUCAGUUCGGAUUGUAGUCUGCAACUCGACUACAUGAAGCUGGAAUCGCUAGUAAUCGUAGAUCAGCAUGCUACGGUGAAUACGUUCCCGGGUCUUGUACACACCGCCCGUCACACCACGAGAGUUCGUAACACCCGAAGCCGGUGGAGUAACCUUUUAGGAGCUAGCCGUCGAAGGUGGGACGAAUGAUUAGAGGGUGAAGUCGUAACAAGGUAGCCGUAUCAGAAGC